AGACGUGGCAGUGCAGAGUGCAUGACAUCAGCGUCAUUGAGGUCUCUCUUACAGGAGCAUUACAGAUGUGCAGAAUUUCACACGCAUUGUGCAACUGAAGUCCAAGUUCCAGGCUGUCUGCUGAGUGCCAUAGGAAGGGAGGAGAAACAGGACAUAAGAUUAAGGAGAUCAUGGCUGCCAUUGAUCGGAAUCCUAUCAUUGGCUCGUUGAGAGUUUGCCACCUGCAAGCACUUGUUGUGUACUUGAAGGCCCUGAGAAACUCAAAGGAAUACCUGAGCUGCCAGGACUGGUGUCAUCACUGAAAGCGGUCAUAAACAACAUGGCAGAUUCAUCUAUUUCCUCCAGCCAAAGCGACUCACCAUGCACUAGCAGUGACACUUGCAGUGAAGACAUGGCAUUAUGACUGAAGGACCUUGAACCGAUCCCUCAUUAGCAUUGUGCAGGCCCUCCAUGAUUUUGUGAUCUUGCACGUUCACCAAUUCAUGCAAAUUCAGGGACUUUGCUGCAUUUGCGUGUUGUAAUAUUCAAUAAAUGUGAAUGGUGAUGUGUAGUUAUG
Molecule: long non-coding RNA, 556 nt
Organism: Sardina pilchardus (European sardine)
Lineage: Eukaryota; Metazoa; Chordata; Actinopteri; Clupeiformes; Clupeidae
Exons: 4
Source: RefSeq, a predicted model, not a curated record